GGCUGUAGCUCAACUGUAGAAGAGCAUCUGCUUUGUGUGCAGAAGGUCCCGGGUUCAGUCACCUGUAUCUCCGGUUUGGGCCA
This is a non-coding RNA of Podarcis lilfordi (Lilford's wall lizard), 83 nucleotides long. The record is from the annotation of a GenBank genome assembly. NCBI's taxonomy places the organism in Eukaryota, Metazoa, Chordata, Lepidosauria, Squamata, Lacertidae.